GGGUACAGGCUUUAGACUCGGCUCUACUCUCACUCCCUUUGUGAACGUACCUCUGUUGCUUUGGCGGCUCCGGCCGCCAAAGGACCUUCAAACUCCAGUCAGUAAACGCAGACGUCUGAUAAACAAGUUAAUAAACUAAAACUUUCAACAACGGAUCUCUUGGUUCUGGCAUCGAUGAAGAACGCAGCGAAAUGCGAUAAGUAAUGUGAAUUGCAGAAUUCAGUGAAUCAUCGAAUCUUUGAACGCACAUUGCGCCCCUUGGUAUUCCGGGGGGCAUGCCUGUUCGAGCGUCAUUACAACCCUCAAGCUCUGCUUGGAAUUGGGCACCGUCCUCACUGCGGACGCGCCUCAAAGACCUCGGCGGUGGCUGUUCAGCCCUCAAGCGUAGUAGAAUACACCUCGCUUUGGAGCGGUUGGCGUCGCCCGCCGGACGAACCUUCUGAACUUUUCUCAAGGUUGACCUCGGAUCAGGUAGGGAUACCCGCUGAACUUAAGCAUAUCAAUAAGCCGGAGGAAACUUCGAAUACAGCUCGCUCAGCC
RNAcentral lists this ribosomal RNA (540 nucleotides) under Lasiodiplodia theobromae. RNAcentral's name for it is "eukaryotic LSU rRNA". The stretch from base 140 to 293 matches the Rfam family "5.8S ribosomal RNA". Lineage: Eukaryota; Fungi; Ascomycota; Dothideomycetes; Botryosphaeriales; Botryosphaeriaceae. The record is from RNAcentral.